UUUAAAGAGAGUUUGAUCCUGGCUCAGGACGAACGCUGGCGGCGUGCCUAAUACAUGCAAGUCGAACGAACGGAGGAAGAGCUUGCUCUUCCAAAGUUAGUGGC
Molecule: ribosomal RNA, 104 nt
Filed under: Listeria monocytogenes
Lineage: Bacteria; Bacillati; Bacillota; Bacilli; Caryophanales; Listeriaceae
Also listed under: 1 other name
Description: partial 16S ribosomal RNA
Rfam family: Bacterial small subunit ribosomal RNA
Source: RNAcentral